This 338-nucleotide ribosomal RNA is filed under the name uncultured Streptococcus sp. RNAcentral describes it as "bacterial SSU rRNA". It matches the Rfam family "Bacterial small subunit ribosomal RNA", at positions 1045 to 1382 of the family's 1533-position model. The record is from RNAcentral. Lineage: Bacteria; Bacillati; Bacillota; Bacilli; Lactobacillales; Streptococcaceae.
AUGGUUGUCGUCUAGCUCGUGUCGUGAGGAUGUUGGGUUAAGUCCCGCAACGAGCGCAACCCCUAUUGUUAGUUGCCAUCAUUCAGUUGGGCACUCUAGCGAGACUGCCGGUAAUAAACCGGAGGAAGGUGGGGAUGACGUCAAAUCAUCAUGCCCCUUAUGACCUGGGCUACACACGUGCUACAAUGGUUGGUACAACGAGUUGCGAGUCGGUGACGGCGAGCUAAUCUCUUAAAGCCAAUCUCAGUUCGGAUUGUAGGCUGCAACUCGCCUACAUGAAGUCGGAAUCGCUAGUAAUCGCGGAUCAGCACGCCGCGGUGAAUACGUUCCCGGGCCUU